Molecule: ribosomal RNA, 752 nt
Filed under: Acinetobacter sp.
Lineage: Bacteria; Pseudomonadati; Pseudomonadota; Gammaproteobacteria; Moraxellales; Moraxellaceae
Description: bacterial SSU rRNA
Rfam family: Bacterial small subunit ribosomal RNA
Source: RNAcentral
GAUCUUAACAUGGUAACCGUAUAUCUUUAAAUAUUGUUGAUUAAUGCUUAGGAAUCUGCCUAUUAGUGGGGGACAACAUUUCGAAAGGAAUGCUAAUACCGCAUACGUCCUACGGGAGAAAGCAGGGGAUCUUCGGACCUUGCGCUAAUAGAUGAGCCUAAGUCGGAUUAGCUAGUUGGUGGGGUAAAGGCCUACCAAGGCGACAAUCUGUAGCGGGUCUGAAAGGAUGAUCCGCCACACUGGGACUGAAACACGGCCCAAACUCCUACGGGAGGCAGCAGUGGGGAAUAUUGGACAAUGGGCGCAAGCCUGAUCCACCCAUGCCGCGUGUGUGAAAAAGGCCUUAUGGUUGUAAAGCACUUUAAGCGAGGAGGAGGCUACUUUAUUUAAUACCUAGAGAUAGUGGACGUUACUCGCAAAAUAAGCACCGGCUAACUCUGUGCCAGCACCCGCGGUAAUACAGAGGGUGCAAGCGUUAAUCGGAUUUACUGGGCGUAAAGCGCGCGUAGGCGGCUAAUUAAGUCAAAUGUGAAAUCCCCGAGCUUAACUUGGGAAUUGCAUUCGAUACUGGUUAGCUAGAGUGUGGGAGAGGAUGGUAAAAUUCCAGGUGUAGCGGUGAAAUGCGUAGAGAUCUGGAGGAAUACCGAUGGCGAAGGCAGCCAUCUGGCCUAACACUGACGCUGAGGUGCGAAAAGCAUGGGGAGCAAACAGGAUUAGAUACCCCUGGUAGUCCAUGCCCGUAAACGAUGUUC